RNAcentral lists this ribosomal RNA (542 nucleotides) under Penicillium sp. R15F22. RNAcentral's name for it is "eukaryotic LSU rRNA". The stretch from base 191 to 344 matches the Rfam family "5.8S ribosomal RNA". Lineage: Eukaryota; Fungi; Ascomycota; Eurotiomycetes; Eurotiales; Aspergillaceae. The record is from RNAcentral.
GAAGGAUCAUUACCGAGUGCGGGCCCUCGCGGCCCAACCUCCCACCCUUGUCUCUAUACACCUGUUGCUUUGGCGGGCCCACCGGGGCCACCUGGUCGCCGGGGGACGCACGUCCCCGGGCCCGCGCCCGCCGAAGCGCUCUGUGAACCCUGAUGAAGAUGGGCUGUCUGAGUACUAUGAAAAUUGUCAAAACUUUCAACAAUGGAUCUCUUGGUUCCGGCAUCGAUGAAGAACGCAGCGAAAUGCGAUAAGUAAUGUGAAUUGCAGAAUUCCGUGAAUCAUCGAAUCUUUGAACGCACAUUGCGCCCCCUGGCAUUCCGGGGGGCAUGCCUGUCCGAGCGUCAUUUCUGCCCUCAAGCACGGCUUGUGUGUUGGGUGUGGUCCCCCCGGGGACCUGCCCGAAAGGCAGCGGCGACGUCCGUCUGGUCCUCGAGCGUAUGGGGCUCUGUCACUCGCUCGGGAAGGACCUGCGGGGGUUGGUCACCACCAUGUUUUUACCACGGUUGACCUCGGAUCAGGUAGGAGUUACCCGCUGAACUUAA